This 270-nucleotide long non-coding RNA is filed under the name Medicago truncatula (barrel medic). RNAcentral's name for it is "long non-coding RNA (MTRU_LNC007310)". Lineage: Eukaryota; Viridiplantae; Streptophyta; Magnoliopsida; Fabales; Fabaceae. The record is from RNAcentral.
UUGGAUAUGAUAUUUGUCAUGAGAUGUUGUAUGUUCUCUUACUUGGGAUAUGAGAAUUGUUUGGAAUGGUGAAACUAUAUGAUAUAGUUGAUGUUGAAUGACAUUGUUGAUUAUUGAUAAUCAUGUUGAUGUGUGAUGGUGAAUACUAUGAUUUAUUUGUGUGGGCAUGUUUUCUUGAUAAUGCAAUGUUGUGGAGAUAAUCAAUAUAAUUGGGUGUCGUCCUAUAUAUUGAGUUGAGAUUGUGAAUUGUUGUCGCAUUAUCGAGUCCUU